Molecule: ribosomal RNA, 497 nt
Filed under: uncultured bacterium
Lineage: Bacteria
Description: bacterial SSU rRNA
Rfam family: Bacterial small subunit ribosomal RNA
Source: RNAcentral
ACUCAAAUGAAUUGACGGGGGCCCGCACAAGCGGAGGAACAUGUGGUUUAAUUCGAUGAUACGCGAGGAACCUUACCCGGGCUUGAAAGUUAGUGACGGACUUGGAAACAAGUUUUCCCUUCGGGGCACGAAACUAGGUGCUGCAUGGUUGUCGUCAGCUCGUGCCGUGAGGUGUCGGGUUAAGUCCCAUAACGAGCGCAACCCCUACUGUCAGUUGCCAUCGGGUCAUGCCGGGGACUCUGACAGGACUGCCGGUGUAAACCGCGAGGAAGGUGGGGAUGACGUCAAAUCAGCACGGCCCUUACGUCCGGGGCGACACACGUGUUACAAUGGCAGGUACAGAGGGCAGCUACCCAGCGAUGGGAUGCGAAUCUCGAAAGCCUGUCUCAGUUCGGAUCGGAGGCUGAAACUCGCCUCCGUGAAGUUGGAUUCGCUAGUAAUCGCGCAUCAGCCAUGGCGCGGUGAAUACGUUCCCGGGCCUUGCACACACCGCCCGU